This 1297-nucleotide long non-coding RNA is filed under the name Lupinus angustifolius (narrow-leaved blue lupine). RNAcentral's name for it is "long non-coding RNA (LANG_LNC000899)". Lineage: Eukaryota; Viridiplantae; Streptophyta; Magnoliopsida; Fabales; Fabaceae. The record is from RNAcentral.
UCAAGCUAUGAUUUCUGGUGAACAGAAGGAGGCUGAACGAUUGAGCCCCAUUGCUGAGGUUUCAGAGGAGAAAAGCUGUUCAGAAACUCGGAAGAGAAAGAAUAUUGUCGAUCUUGAAUUUGAUGUUGCUGGUAUCACAAAUUUGUCUCCAAGACAAAGGCUUUCUGACAUUUCAGAUGUUCAUUGCAGCGAGUCACCUCUUACGACUUGCUAAAGAGGGAGCGAGUAACUUUUGUUGUCAAUUCAAUUGUCAACUUGGAAAACUCUUUUUGGUCAAAAUUAUUAUUGUUUUAUGGCAGGGAAUGUUAUAAUGAUUUUAGGAGGCUCUUUUAGAGAGACUAUUAUGUUAUGAGUGUGGUAUACAGUAUAUUUCAACUCUGAAAUAUGUCCGCAUAAUUAAGGAUCCACUUCACAGACCUUAUAGUUGUGUCAUUGUAGAAUCCAGUAAAGUAACCUUGGUUUGUGCUUCUACUAUUAUGCAUAUUUUUCCCAGCAUUUUUUAUACCUUGCAAUGUUUGCAAAAUCAACAAAUUGUAAAUCUGUAUUCGAAUAUGUAAUUAAUCUCUGAAACAUAAACAUGAUUUGUCCUUGUUGUAAAAUCUGCAAAUCCAGCUAAUUGGAGAACUAGCAAUGGAAUAGCCAUUCAAGAAUGACACCAACAUCGUCUGACCAAACAAAUGAAGGUCCAUUAUGAUUCAAGGUUCCAAAAUGUUAUUGGAGUAUUGGUUGAUCUUAUGAUGGGAAGGGUGGAUCGGUGAUUUGGUAACAUGUUCGGUGAAUGGGUGUAUAUGGAGGUCCUGUUCCUCUGCCUACAUAAUCACCAUCCUAACUAUCCAUAACAACUUAAUCUACAUUUGAUUCCAAAUUACCUCAUUGAAAGCAUUCUCCAGGAAUUUACUAGAUCAAAAUUAACAACCAAAUAAUAAUAAGGUAGCAUUAUUUCCAAAAGCUUAAUCUAACAUUUUUGCUCUAUGAAUUCUUCUGUCAAAUAUAAACUGUGAAUGCAGAAGGUGCCAUGGAACAAAAGUUGGAAUCCACUAUGGACUAACCUUCUUCUCCGGGGCCAGGCCAAUAAGAGAGGAAUGUGCUGGUGAUUCACCAGCCCUGUCUGAAAUUGUACACCAGUGCUGUUGCCUGUUCUGCUGCUGCAGUGGUGAUUCAUUACCUGCUGCUGCAGUGGUGAUUCAUUACCUGCAGCUGCAUUAUACACAUAGAGAGCGAUUUUCUAAUGUGUCCAAUGUCACAUGUUAAGAACACACUCAAUUGAAUAAGUUUUCAUUAGAAAACUGAAUCAGUG